Amphimedon queenslandica is the source of this 961-nucleotide long non-coding RNA. RefSeq lists it as uncharacterized. The record is from RefSeq and is a predicted model, not a curated record. The transcript has 5 exons. Lineage: Eukaryota; Metazoa; Porifera; Demospongiae; Haplosclerida; Niphatidae.
AAGUGAAGUCACACAUGGCGUACGUCCAACGGUGAUGCUGGUUUCAAGGUCUCAGUGGAAUCACUCCAUACUACAAGAGUCAAGGAGAUCAACUAUGAUGGAGAAGAGAUAUAUUAAGGGUAGCAGUCAUUAAAAUGGGAUAAAUUAAUCAUAAAAAUACUUUUGCAAAUGAUGCAGUUAUGUAUGUAUAUGUAAAAUACACUAGAAUACUCACAUACACCAUAGAUAUUAGAGACUACGCAUACACAUAUAUGUAUUUAUUUGUAGGAGACCUUCUCUCUCUCAGAAACUAAGUGAAUUAGCUCAACUUGUUGACUUUAGAGAAGAGAGAACUGAUGAUGAUAAUGGCAGACUGAGAAGAAGGAAAGAAGAAACAAGAGGAGGGCCCGAGUUUCUGGUCCUACAACUAAGAAACCAAGUCAUCGCUGGCCAUGGGAAUUCACACACUCAAAACUCAAGCAAGCAUUGAGCCAUUGACUGAAGUUAGUGUACUGUCUGAUGUGUUACAAAUUGUUCAUAAUCAUCAUCAAUACUUGUCACUGGAUCCAGUUUAUGUUAAUAAGAAAUACACAUUACCGCCUUCAUAUCAAUACCAAAUUAAAAAGAAGCGUAUUGGUUCACAUUUAUGGUGAUCAGGAUCUAUUGGUGAAUGAGUAUUAUUGCUAUCACUUGACUAUGAUGUUAUAAGAGAACUACGGACCUUGAGUUAUUAAAACUAAGAUUUGGAGAGAGUAACCUCCAUUAUUGUGAAGUGAUGAUUAAAGACCCUACAUUACUAGGUCAUGACGAGUGGGUGGGUCAUCGAACUUUAUCGCUAUAAAAAAACUACUCACAAGUCGCGUAUCUUGUACAGGUUGAUAUGGGAGGAGUACCAGCAAAACUGGUUAAUAUUGUGUCAAGACUCAGCCAUUAGCAGUUGCAUAUUUACGUGAUUAUUUAGAAACAACUAGUUUAAAUUCAA